ACGUAGGGUGCGAGCGUUAAUCGGAAUUACUGGGCGUAAAGAGUGCGUAGGCGGUCUGUGAAGUCAGAUGUGAAAGCCCCGGGCUUAACCUGGGAUGUGCGUUUGAAACUGGCAGGCUAGAGUUUGAUAGAGGGGGGUAGAAUUCCUGGUGUAGCAGUGAAAUGCGUAGAUAUCAGGAGGAAUACCGAUGGCGAAGGCAGCCCCCUGGAUUAAAACUGACGCUCAGGCACGAAAGCAUGGGGAGCAAACAGGA
This 253-nucleotide ribosomal RNA is filed under the name uncultured prokaryote. RNAcentral describes it as "partial 16S ribosomal RNA". It matches the Rfam family "Bacterial small subunit ribosomal RNA", at positions 525 to 777 of the family's 1533-position model. The record is from RNAcentral.